AGUGAACGCUGGCGGUAGGCCUAACACAUGCGAGUCGAACGGCAGCACAGUAAGAGCUUGCUCUUACGGGUGGCGAGUGGCGGACGGGUGAGGAAUACAUCGGAAUCUACUUUUUCGUGGGGGAUAACGUAGGGAAACUUACGCUAAUACCGCAUACGACCUACGGGUGAAAGCAGGGGAUCUUCGGACCUUGCGCGAUUGAAUGAGCCGAUGUCGGAUUAGCUAGUUGGCGGGGUAAAGGCCCACCAAGGCGACGAUCCGUAGCUGGUCUGAGAGGAUGAUCAGCCACACUGGAACUGAGACACGGUCCAGACUCCUACGGGAGGCAGCAGUGGGGAAUGUUGGACAAUGGGCGCAAGCCUGAUCCAGCCAUACCGCGUGGGUGAAGAAGGCCUUCGGGUUGUAAAGCCCUUUUGUUGGGAAAGAAAAGCAGCAGGUUAAUACCCCGCUGUUCUGACGGUACCCAAAUAAUAAGCACCGGCUAACUUCGUG
This 492-nucleotide ribosomal RNA is filed under the name uncultured bacterium. RNAcentral's name for it is "partial 16S ribosomal RNA". It matches the Rfam family "Bacterial small subunit ribosomal RNA", at positions 29 to 507 of the family's 1533-position model. The record is from RNAcentral.